GGACCGAACCGACUAAUGUUGAAAAAUUAGCGGAUGACCUGUGGCUGGGGGUGAAAGGCCAAUCAAACCGGGAGAUAGCUGGUUCUCCCCGAAAGCUAUUUAGGUAGCGCCUCGUGAAUUCAUCUCCGGGGGUAGAGCACUGUUUCGGCUAGGGGGCCAUCCCGGCUUACCAACCCGAUGCAAACUGCGAAUACCGGAGAAUGUUAUCACGGGAGACACACGGCGGGUGCUAACGUCCGUCGUGAAGAGGGAAACAACCCAGACCGCCAGCUAAGGUCCCAAAGUCAUGGUUAAGUGGGAAACGAUGUGGGAAGGCCCAGACAGCCAGGAUGUUGGCUUAGAAGCAGCCAUCAUUUAAAGAAAGCGUAAUAGCUCACUGGUCGAGUCGGCCUGCGCGGAAGAUGUAACGGGGCUAAACCAU
This 421-nucleotide ribosomal RNA is filed under the name Salmonella enterica. Its description in RNAcentral is "partial 23S ribosomal RNA". It matches the Rfam family "Bacterial large subunit ribosomal RNA", at positions 771 to 1190 of the family's 2925-position model. The record is from RNAcentral. RNAcentral also lists the same sequence under 6 other names. Lineage: Bacteria; Pseudomonadati; Pseudomonadota; Gammaproteobacteria; Enterobacterales; Enterobacteriaceae.